CAUUCGAGUGGCGGACGGGUGAGUAACGCGUGGGUAACCUGCCUUACACAGGGGGAUAACACCUGGAAACAGGUGCUAAUACCGCAUAAGCGCACAGGGCCGCAUGGCCCGGUGUGAAAAACUCCGGUGGUGUAAGAUGGACCCGCGUCUGAUUAGCUUGUUGGCGGGGUAGGGGCCCACCAAGGCGACGAUCAGUAGCCGGCCUGAGAGGGUGGACCGGCCACAUUGGGACUGAGACACGGCCCAAACUCCUACGGAAGGCAGCAG
RNAcentral lists this ribosomal RNA (267 nucleotides) under uncultured bacterium. RNAcentral describes it as "partial 16S ribosomal RNA". It matches the Rfam family "Bacterial small subunit ribosomal RNA", at positions 88 to 354 of the family's 1533-position model. The record is from RNAcentral.